AUACAUCAUUAAACUGAAACCAGCUGCUCUACUUAAGAUAGACUAACUUAGGGUUUUCUGCUGUGCGUGCUGUCAUCCAUGAAGGGCAAUUUGCUGUGGAAUGUUUACAAAGAACCAGGCAGCCUUCCUUCCAGGUGCAGGUCCCUGCUUGUGGCUAUAGAGCCAAAGUCCAGUGUCCAUCAUGAGCCUGGCUCAGGCCACACAGGCCAUCCUCUCUUAUUUCCCAGCUAGAUUCUGUGCCCUUCCAGACAACAAGCCCUGUCCCAGCCUUGCUCCACUGCAGUGGCUAUGGUGAUGGGCAGCCAGGGUGAGCACAGGAGUGUGGGGCAAGGGCCCUGAGCA
RNAcentral lists this long non-coding RNA (342 nucleotides) under Bos taurus (domestic cattle). RNAcentral's name for it is "long non-coding RNA NONBTAT018837". Lineage: Eukaryota; Metazoa; Chordata; Mammalia; Artiodactyla; Bovidae. The record is from RNAcentral.